Molecule: ribosomal RNA, 253 nt
Filed under: uncultured bacterium
Lineage: Bacteria
Description: partial 16S ribosomal RNA
Rfam family: Bacterial small subunit ribosomal RNA
Source: RNAcentral
GACAGAGGGUGCAAACGUUGUUCGGAAUUACUGGGCGUAAAGCGCGUGUAGGCGGCCCUGCAAGUCGGGUGUGAAAUCCCGAGGCUCAACCUCGGGUCUGCAGUCGAUACGGGCAAACUAGAGUAUUGCAGGGGAGACUGGAAUUCCUGGUGUAGCAGUGAAAUGCGUAGAGAUGCGGAGGAACACCGAUGGCGAAGGCAGCCCCCUGGGCUGACACUGACGCUCAGGCACGAAAGCGUGGGGAGCAAACAGG